GCCUUCGCGGUGUAAUUGGAAACACAUUCGGCUCAUAUUCGAGAGGUCCAGGGUUCAAGUCCCGGUGAGAACA
This 73-nucleotide transfer RNA is filed under the name Stegodyphus mimosarum. It matches the Rfam family "tRNA". Rfam says of the family: Transfer RNA (tRNA) molecules are approximately 80 nucleotides in length. Their secondary structure includes four short double-helical elements and three loops (D, anti-codon, and T loops). The record is from Rfam by way of RNAcentral. Lineage: Eukaryota; Metazoa; Arthropoda; Arachnida; Araneae; Eresidae.